Molecule: ribosomal RNA, 484 nt
Filed under: uncultured bacterium
Lineage: Bacteria
Description: partial 16S ribosomal RNA
Rfam family: Bacterial small subunit ribosomal RNA
Source: RNAcentral
AUUGAACGCUGGCGGCAGGCCUAACACAUGCAAGUCGAGCGGAUGAAGGGAGCUUGCUCCUGGAUUCAGCGGCGGACGGGUGAGUAAUGCCUAGGAAUCUGCCUGGUAGUGGGGGAUAACGUCCGGAAACGGGCGCUAAUACCGCAUACGUCCUGAGGGAGAAAGUGGGGGAUCUUCGGACCUCACGCUAUCAGAUGAGCCUAGGUCGGAUUAGCUAGUUGGUGGGGUAAAGGCCUACCAAGGCGACGAUCCGUAACUGGUCUGAGAGGAUGAUCAGUCACACUGGAACUGAGACACGGUCCAGACUCCUACGGGAGGCAGCAGUGGGGAAUAUUGGACAAUGGGCGAAAGCCUGGUCCAGCCAUGCCGCGUGUGUGAAGAAGGUCUUCGGAUUGUAAAGCACUUUUAGUUGGGAGGAAGGGCAGUAAGUUAAUACCUUGCUGUUUUGACGUUACCAACAGAAUAAGCACCGGCUAACUUCGUG